This 695-nucleotide ribosomal RNA is filed under the name uncultured bacterium. Its description in RNAcentral is "bacterial SSU rRNA". It matches the Rfam family "Bacterial small subunit ribosomal RNA", at positions 8 to 696 of the family's 1533-position model. The record is from RNAcentral.
AGAGUUUGAUCCUGGCUCAGAUUGAACGCUGGCGGCAUGCUUUACACAUGCAAGUCGAGCGGCAGCGCGGGGGCAACCCUGGCGGCGAGCGGCGAACGGGUGAGGAAUGCGUCGGAACGUGUCCCGUAGAGGGGGAUAGCUCGGCGAAAGCCGGAUUAAUACCGCAUAUGCUCUACGGAGGAAAGCAGGGGACCAGUAAUGGCCUUGCGCUAUGGGAGCGGCCGAUGCCCGAUUAGCUUGUUGGUGAGGUAAAGGCUUACCAAGGCGACGAUCGGUAGCUGGUCUGAGAGGAUGAUCAGCCACACUGGGACUGAGACACGGCCCAGACUCCUACGGGAGGCAGCAGUGGGGAAUUUUGGACAAUGGGGGAAACCCUGAUCCAGCCAUGCCGCGUGAGUGAAGAAGGCCUUCGGGUUGUAAAGCUCUUUUGGUCGGGAAGAAAGGGUUUCCUUGAAUACGGGAGACUUUUGACGGUACCGGCAGAAUAAGCACCGGCUAACUACGUGCCAGCAGCCGCGGUAAUACGUAGGGUGCGAGCGUUAAUCGGAAUUACUGGGCGUAAAGAGUGCGUAGGCGGUUCGUUAUGUCUGCUGUGAAAGCCCCGGGCUUAACCCGGGAAUGGCAGUGGAAACUGGCGGGCUUGAGUGUGGCAGAGGGGGGUGGAAUUCCGCGUGUAGCAGUGAAAUGCGUANAGA